ACUUAAGCAUAUCAAUAAGCGGAGGAAAAGAAACCAACAGGGAUUCCYUUAGUAACGGCGAGCGAAAAGGGACAAGCCCAGUAUGUAAAUCUCCAGCUUUGAGCUGGCGAAUUGUAGUCUGGAGUAGCGUUUCUUGGAGGCCGGGCUGCCCAAGCAUCUUGGAAUAGAUCGCCGCAGAGGGUGAGAGCCCCGUAGGCAGGGCCGGGCUCCUUCACAGAGCGCUGACGCAGAGUCGGGUUGUUUGGGAAUGCAGCCCCAAUUUGGUGGUAAACCCCAUCUAAGGCUAAAUACAUGUGGGAGACCGAUAGCAAAAAAGUACCUCGAGGGAACGAUGAAAAGACCGCUGGCAAGCGAGUGAAAGAGUGCAUGAAAUUGUGUAGUGGGAAGGGAUGGCCUGGCGUGUUGCCCCCUGGUAUACACUGCUCUCGGAGCUCUUGAAUACACUGGGGGCUGGCUGGUGCCGACACCCGCGCUCGCAAACCCCCAAGCUAAGGUGUUUGGUUGUUCGGGCGUGGGUGUUGAGGUUGAUCGGUGCUCUGUUUAAAACUGCAUCGACAUAGCACCAGCUGGAGCUUGUCCAUCUACCCGUCUUGAAACACGGACC
Molecule: ribosomal RNA, 604 nt
Filed under: Lychaete dotyana
Lineage: Eukaryota; Viridiplantae; Chlorophyta; Ulvophyceae; Cladophorales; Cladophoraceae
Description: eukaryotic LSU rRNA
Rfam family: Eukaryotic large subunit ribosomal RNA
Source: RNAcentral